AGACAGAACAAGCAAAGCCACACCAACGAAGCCACAACACUCAACAAACGAAACCAACACUCUGGCCCAGACAGGCAGGCGCACCCUCCUUAAGUAGGUGGCCAGAUGUAAAUUGCCUACAGGUGCGCCUGCCUGCAGCGCCAGCUGAUGCAAAUUGAGCUCCUUCAUGGCCCCUGGAGGAAAAACCAGGCACAACCCUGGACCCCAACAGGUCCAAGUGUCUGGAGGUUUAUGGAUUUUUGGGAGAAGGUGAAAGUAACGCGGGCGUGGAUUGCCUAGGCCAAAUAGGUGCUGCCCUGUGUAGGUGGACUCAUUGGCUGCCAGUGGUAGAUCUCUUCUCAGGGAGGAGUUUUCCUCUUGGCUCGGACAGGUGCUGUUGGGUUGGUUUUAUUACUCUGGUCUGUAUUCUGUCCUUGUUUCAGUCCUUGGUUUUGUCCCGGUUCACUGAAUAGAUCCUUCCCUUAGAGGUUAGUGGCGCCACGUGGAGUUUGAGGUUAUAAGUCCUCUUGUUGAUCCUGGGCUGGCAGAGUCCUCCACCAUUGUUUAAAAAAUGUCUUUAUUGUUGCUUCAUCAGGGGUUAGGUUAGGUUAGGUUAUAUUAGGGUUCAUACAUAAGGAGGGGAAGAUUUAUAAUGUAUUAAGACUAGAGAGGAUUUAUGGUUGGGUUAGGUUAGGGUUAGGGUUCAUACUUAAGCAGGGUUAGGGUAGAGGGUUUAGGUUAGGGUUUAGGGUUAGUUAGGGUUUAGGGUUAUUUAGAGUUCCUGCUUAAGGAGGGGUUAGGGUUAUUUAGGGUUAGGGUUCGUGCUUAAAGAGGGGUUAGGUUAGGGUUUAGGGUUAGUUAGAGUUUAGGGUUAUUUAGGGUUCCUGCUUAAGGAGGGGUUAGGCUAGGGUUUAGGGUUAGUUAGGGUUAGGGUUCCUAUGUAAGGAGGAGAAGGUUUGAAACGCGUAGAGAGAAUGAUCAUAAAAAUACACGGUAGUUUUGCUAUAAAUUGAAAAAUUGAGGGGAGGAGCUAUGAAUCCAACAUGGCUGCUGUUAUCCACAUAACUAUGGUCUUACUGAAGGGUCAGUGUUAAUCUCUGAAGACUGACCCCCCCCCCCCCACACACACACACACACACACACACACACACACACACACACACAGUCUCUCUCUCUCACACACACUCUCACAGACACACACCAAAACAUGCUAAUUUUAUGAAUAAAUCCAACAUCUGGACUGACAGCAGGAUAAGAAGCUUUGUCAUCUGUUGAUGUGAGAACAUGGCAGAACUGAAGAGUCGAGGAGACCGAAGGAGCCGAGAGGAGAAAGAGUGAACAGCAGGAGAAAAGAGAGAGAGUGAGCUGGAAAGAGGGAAUAGUUGCUGGUGGAUUAGACAGGAUUAUUGUCUGUUUGAGGUGAUCCUCCUCUGUUGGAGGAUCCCAUCAUCCUCUGCUGUUUGUCACUAAAACGCUGCUGCAGAGGACCUGAAGGACCAGAAGGUUGGAGUUCCAGACUGGAAGGUGUGUUCUUGUACUUGCUACAUAAAAAGUUCCAAAAUACUUGUUCUGAUUAAAAAAAAAAGAUGAGGACAUUUUGGCUAAUUCUCACAACUUC
Long non-coding RNA from Takifugu rubripes (torafugu), 1597 nucleotides. Lineage: Eukaryota; Metazoa; Chordata; Actinopteri; Tetraodontiformes; Tetraodontidae. The record is from Ensembl.